AUUGAACGCUGGCGGCAGGCCUAACACAUGCAAGUCGAACGCGUGGCGGACGGGUGAGUAAUGUCUGGGAAACUGCCCGCUGGAGGGGGAUAACUCCUGGAAACGGUAGCUAAUACCGCAUACCAUCGGAUGUGCCCAGAUGGGAUUAGCUUGUAGGUGAGGUAACGGCUCACCAAGGCGACUAUCCCUAGCUGGUCUGAGAGGAUGACCAGACACACUGGAAAUGAGACACGGGCCAGACUCCGACGGGAGGCAGCAGUGGGGAAUAGUGCACAAUGGGCGCAAGCCUGAUGCAGCCAUGCCGCGUGGAUGAAGAAGGCCGUCGGGUUGUAAAGUACGUUCAGCGGGGAGGCGUUACCCGCAGAAGAAGCACCGGAUAACUCCGUGCCAGCAGCCGCGGUAAUUC
Molecule: ribosomal RNA, 406 nt
Filed under: uncultured bacterium
Lineage: Bacteria
Description: partial 16S ribosomal RNA
Rfam family: Bacterial small subunit ribosomal RNA
Source: RNAcentral